AGAAGAAAUAUUUUAGCCCAUUUGGUGAGUUCUUAAAGCAACUAUUUUUUUUCACAUCUAUAUGGUAUAUUAUAAAUCCAAACAAGCUAAUAGCUUCUCUGUUGUACGGAGUACAUCCUUAGCAUAUUUCUGGGCGUGGUUAACAUUGUCUGUGGAAUUUGUUCAAUGCCUCUUGGAUCUCAAGUUUUGGCAGUCGCUAAAAAUCCCUGGAAGAUGCUAUCAAAGGGCCAUUAUAUUGCUUCAAAAGUGUCUUUUAUGUUGUAUUGACAGAAGGCAUGAGACGUGAGGUGACUAGAGUUUAGUAGGGCCUAGCAGCUAAAAUAUAAUUGUUAGAAGCUACUACGAUGAAGGGGAGCCUUGGCGCAGUGGUAAAGCUGCUGCCUUGUGACCAUGAGGUCAUGGGUUCAAGUCCUGGAAACAGCCUCUUACAGAAAUGUAGGGAAAGGCUGCGUACUAUAGACCCAAAGUGGUCGGACCCUUCCCUGGACCCUGCGCAAGCGGGAGCUACAUGCACCAGGUUGCCCUUUUUUUUUUAGAAGCUACUACGAUAACUCCUUUUUGAACAUAUUCUGGGAUCAUAAUGUUGUUUCCUUUUUUUGAGAGGGACUCUGUGACAUGAUUAAGUCAUAAGAAGAGCUCCAAUCAGUCUGUUUUAGAAUUUAAUAGAACUGUCUAUGUUGGCUUUAAAUAUGCCAAGACUUGUAUUUGUAUCACUUUCAGUUUAUCAGCAUCAUGAUUAAGUCGAAAGAAGUUGUUAUCUGUCUGUUUUAAAAUUAUAGAACUGCCUAUGUUGGCUUCAAUAUGCAAAGAAUCAUAUUUCUAUCACUUUCAGUUUAUCAACAUCAAUGAGUCUACCUUAAAAGAAAAGAAAAACCAUCAUGAGUCGGGCUCACCGCUAGCCGCAUUUUAUGGGCAUAUUUAUUAACUAUUGUAGCCUAUGCUGCUCACAUAGUUUUAUGGUAUAUUAUGAUUCUCCUACUACUGUAGCUUGUUUUUCUGUUUACAUAUCGUUAGAGGAACAAAUUCAAACGAAUUGCCGCUACCCGUUGCUCUACACAAAAUGCAAGUCAGGACAGAGACUAGGCUCUUCAAUCCUUAACAAUCGUGUCAUUCUUUGAAGUUUCUACUUGAUUUUUAAUCUCAUGGAGUAUAUAAGUACAUUGUGUUAUUUUGAAUUCUGGCAUCUCACAAGUCUAAUGUUUUCAAGUCAUUGAGUUUCUUUUGGGCUUUCUUUCUAGAAAGAAAGAACAAAGAAAGAAAGAACAAUCCCAUGGAGCACAAUAUAUUGUCUGCUGGAUAAAAGAAUACUGAAAUAGGGUAGCAUUAUGUCAUUUUUUUGUGGUUAUGGAAGUUCAUAGUAUGUGAGGUACCUGGGAGCCUACUUGCAGGCUAUUUUAAUAAACCGACGAAAUAAUAUUUUCAGAAAAUGAUACCUAAUAGUAGUGUAUGUUCAAACAUUAAUCCCGAGGACUCACCGGCACAAGGGACUUUUUCUGAGGUUACUUUUGAAAUGGCUAGUGUUCGUCUGUCCGUUUUUGUUUAGAAAUGUUAUCAAGUAUCAUCACCAUUUUCCUGGCAAUGGCUGCGUUUCUUAACUUUGGCUCUUUUUUCGCUUAUCAGGAAGCUCUCCAGUUGCCCAGUGCAGUUGGCCUCGUCCUCAGAGUCUCUAUACCGUGAUCCGUCCACCGCUGAGAGUAUUUCUGGAUAUCCAGGGCAUAAUGUUUAACUGCUUAUACGUGGGUUUAGAUGCACGCUCUUCAGUCUGAGAAAUGGAAUGAUCUGUAUAUUGUUUCCAUGAACAUGAAACUUGUCGAGGUUUAAAUCUUGUGGAUAAUGACGUAUACCUUUUCUCGCAACAUCCUUCUCUCUCUACGACUACGUGCGUUGUUGUGUCUUUCAUAUACAAAUGCGGUGCUCGGGUCAUUGGUUCUGUAUGUCUAUUCUGCAGUAUUAGGCUGCAACAUGACUCCUAACGGUGGUUGCACUGAAAAGGUACCACACGUAGCUGGGGAGUUGUAUGCUGUAUAUAUUAACCUUUUGUGCACUUGCAAUGCGUGCUACGCGUGUUUGAACUUUGAGACCACUUUUUGAACAACCAACCAUGGAUCACUAGGUUGUUA
This 2120-nucleotide long non-coding RNA is filed under the name Triticum aestivum (bread wheat). RNAcentral's name for it is "long non-coding RNA (TAES_LNC023301)". The record is from RNAcentral. Lineage: Eukaryota; Viridiplantae; Streptophyta; Magnoliopsida; Poales; Poaceae.